RNAcentral lists this transfer RNA (69 nucleotides) under Trimma hayashii (four-eye pygmy goby). RNAcentral describes it as "tRNA-His". It matches the Rfam family "tRNA". Rfam says of the family: Transfer RNA (tRNA) molecules are approximately 80 nucleotides in length. Lineage: Eukaryota; Metazoa; Chordata; Actinopteri; Gobiiformes; Gobiidae. The record is from RNAcentral.
GUAAGCAUAGUUUAAACAAAACAUUAGAUUGUGAUUCUAAAAAUAGAAGCUAAAACCUCCUUGCCUACC